UGGGGAAUCUUCCACAAUGGGCGCAAGCCUGAUGGAGCAACACCGCGUGAGUGAAGAAGGGUUUCGGCUCGUAAAGCUCUGUUGUUAAAGAAGAACACGUAUGAGAGUAACUGUUCGUACGUUGACGGUAUUUAACCAGAAAGUCACGGCUAACUACGUGCAG
Molecule: ribosomal RNA, 163 nt
Filed under: uncultured bacterium
Lineage: Bacteria
Description: partial 16S rRNA
Rfam family: Bacterial small subunit ribosomal RNA
Source: RNAcentral